UUUCCGUAGGUGAACCUGCGGAAGGAUCAUUAUUGUAUAACCGAGGUGCGAGGGCUGUCGCUGACCCGAAAGGUCGGUCACGCCCGAGUGCACUCACACACAUCCAUCUCACCCCUAUUUGCACCACCGCGUGGGUCCCCCUUUGACUUGUUCGGAGGGGGGCUUACGUUUUCACACAAACUUUGUAUGCAGUGUAGAAUGUAUUUUUUGUUUUUGCGAUCACGCAAUCAAUACAACUUUCAACAACGGAUCUCUUGGCUCUC
This 263-nucleotide unclassified non-coding RNA is filed under the name plant metagenome. Its description in RNAcentral is "partial contains small subunit ribosomal RNA, internal transcribed spacer 1, and 5.8S ribosomal RNA". The record is from RNAcentral.